Molecule: long non-coding RNA, 21121 nt
Filed under: Panicum hallii
Lineage: Eukaryota; Viridiplantae; Streptophyta; Magnoliopsida; Poales; Poaceae
Description: long non-coding RNA (PHAL_LNC000515)
Source: RNAcentral
UUUUUUUUGGGGUUGACGAGAUCACGUCUUCACGAGCUGACCCUGGGGCAAGUGAUCCGACUUUGCAGUUUGCACCCGUAGAACCGCUACGACAGCAUGCAUGUGCCUUUCUUUUCAGGGCUAACUUCACAAACAAACCUAACUCUUUAAUGAUAGGAUUCCUAACUCUCGUAGGAAGAAAGAUAAGCAAUACUAAAGUUGGAAGCCGAAAUAUAAGUUGUGGUCACAAGGGCCUCAAAUACAAUCUACAUGAUAAGCAGAGUGUGAAACGUCAGCACAUGUAAUCACGUUGAUGUUUUCAUUUAAUUGGAGUGAGUAUUAGUUUACUUUGCUUUCAUGGCUCUAUUCUUAGCACUUAGCAGCAGGUGCAUAUACAAUGUAAUCGAAGAUAUGUAAGGAAACUACAAUAAUCCCUAAAUUAGACCUCCAUAUGCUAAAUGGGACUUGCCUGUGGCUUCUAAAUUUGCUUCGACUCCAACAAUAACCCUCAAUUCUAACUUUUAACAGAGGGCUCCCUAGAGAGGGUGGACGAGAAGAGAAUUUGGAGGUCUCCUCAAAAUAGAGGGUCCAGUAGAAGGUCUAUUAGAGUAUAUUUUUUUGUUUAAACCUCUAAAUUUAAGAUAAAGAUUUAUUUACAUGGCCUAUUGAAGUUGCUCUAAACUCUUCUUCUUAUAUGGUCAUUGUUGUUGUUGAAGCAUCGAGUUUUUGUUCAAACUAUGUAACCUUAGAUGGUCACUGUUGUUGUUGAAGCAUCGAGUUUUUGUUCAGACUAUGUAACCUUGUUGUAGGUACUAUGUAGGGAGUGAGAAUGUGGGAUGUGCAAUUUUGUUUGUGUUCCAAUAAGUGGGGGUGUUCAGUCAUCUAUUAUAUCUUUCUUCUAAGGCUAAUCACAAUGGGGGUUUCAUGGCGAGUUUCAUGACAUUAAUUAGCAUGACACAUCAGCAUUUUUGAUGAUGUGGUACUGAUUUAAUGAGGGAAGAGAAGGAACCAAUUUCAUCCCCAUGACACUCUACUAACUCGUUUCCAAGAUAUUGGAAAUGACGUGAAACGACCACUAUGACCGCCGUUGUUUCAUGGGGGAUCCCCGUGCGCCAAUCAACUAGCAUUUAACUACACUAGUUAGCUUUGGAAACAGUGAAAUGAAACUCUCCAUUGAGAGAUAGUGUUUCAUUCAUCCCCCAAGCUGAUGUCGCGUUUUUGGAAAUAGGGAUAUGAAACCCUCCACUGUGAAUAGCCUAAAUGCCGUUGCUAAUAUUGGUGUUGUAAUUACCUUCUUAAAUGAAUGGCAGAGUCCUACUCUUUAUUUAGGACAGGCUUGGCACUAGCCCAGUGAUAUAGGAAGGUAAUUACAUUAUGACAGGCUUUGCACGAUUUAUUUUGAGAAAAAGGACUAUAAGGUGCUCCAGCCCAGUGAAAUAAUAGCUUACUGGAUCUGGCCCGUUUUCUGGAAGAAGGCCAACAUGACAUUCGUCUUCUUCCGAGGAGAAGCCCGAAAGAAAAGCAGCCCAGCCCUUCUCUAUCCCGUCGGCAGCCUGGCUCGCCAGAAAGAUUUCACCACAUCCGUUAGAGGUCGCAAACUCGCUAGACCGUACAAGCCAGGCAAAUCCGGAAAUCCCCAUGGCGGCGCAGGCGCUGCCGUUCCUCCGGUGGAGCCGGAGCGCCGCCUCCCUCCGCGCGCGCUCCUCCACCACAGCCGCGCCGCACCGCCUCUUCUCCACCCUCCGCCGCCCCUCCGCCGCCGCCCGCUGCGAGGCCGGCUCCAAGGUCAUGCUCAAGGGGAUGGACUACUCGGAACUCGAGGUAAGGGCUCGGCUCAGGACUUGUGGGCUUUAUGUAGUUCGUUGGUUGGUGGCAUGAGCAUGCGUGUGAGAUGAUUUAGCGCGGGUUUUUGUUCAGAAUUGGGUGCAGGCGCAGGGGUUUCGCCCCGGCCAGGCCAUGAUGCUGUGGAAAUGCCUAUACGGGCACAACGUUUGGGCUCAUUGUCACGACGAGCUAACUGGUAAACUGUUUCUUCCUCCUCAUAGUUAGCUUCGAUAGUUUUGACUGUAUCUAGUGCAAUUCAUCUGUUCAGUACUAUUGUGCCAAUAAUCUGACAAGCAUCAUAUUUUAGAAAUAGACGAGAUCGAGUUAUACAUCAGCUGCUGGGCCAUGUUUGGUAUUAGUUAACUAUUGUACCACAUUUCCAAUUUGUCUCAUCAACGAUGCCUUUGUUGUACUAUCAAGUAGAAUUUGUUUUCCGAUAAACAAACUGAGUAACUUUAAAAAUAAUUCUACCUUUGUAUGUUUUAGGUGUGCUGCAUCUUUCUCUUACUAAAUUAUUUUCCAAUGGGGAUCUUUUUUUUUGGUUGGAAUUAUACCUGCAAAUGUGCUUACAAUUCUUCUCUUUAUUGAAGAUAUGUGUCAUAUGUUGUGUUGAGAAUGUUAGUUGAAUGGAUGUGACCCCUUUUUACCUCUAAAAUCCUUCAGGUUUAAACAAGGACUUCAGGAAAAUGAUAACUGAGCGUGCUGAUCUCAGGGCAUUAACUGUGAAGGACAUUCUCACUGCAACAGAUGGAACCCGUAAGGUAGUUUUCUGUGUUGCUGAUCUCUUCCGAAGUGAUUUACAGAAUAUGAUUGAUUUUGGAACACAGGAUGUUACAGAUACUGUUCUCUCUUGAAGAUGGUCCAGUGAUUGAAACAGUUAUCAUUCCUUGCGCUAGGGGCAGGACAACCGUCUGUGUUUCAAGUCAAGUUGGUUGCGCCAUGAACUGUCAAUUUUGCUUCACUGGAAGGUUUGUUUACUUCUGUUGCAAGACAUUUGUUUUCUCUCUUUGGCAGUACUGAUUCUAUGUUUGGUUUCUUUCUUUGACUUAUAUAGGAUGGGUUUGAGAAAACAUCUGUCAACAGCUGAAAUUGUAGAGCAGGCUGUGUUUGCUCGCAGACUAUUCUCUGAUGAAUUUGGAGCAAUUACUAAUGUGGUCUUUAUGGUAAGCAUUCUCUUUAAGUACUUUUGCUUUGACUUCAUUGCAAUGACUAACUUGAUCAUCUUGUUUGACUAAUAGCAUACGAUUUGUAGUUAUAUUUGUGAUUUCUUUCCCUUUCAUGCUGUUCUUCCUGAAGUGACAGCAAAAAUAUGCAUAACUCUCUACUGUAUCUUAAACUACUACUUUCAAGUCGAUUCAUAUUGCUGCUGUUCAUAUAGCACCUUUUUAGUGCACAGUACUGUAAAUUUGACAUUGUUAGUGCAUCUCCUUUGAUGCCAUAUUCAGUUAUUCGGUGCCAUUUUAGAAAGGCGGUGACCUAUAUAUGGUUACAUCUCCUCUUAUUAGUUGCCCAAACCAAUCCUUAUUGACAGUUUUACAUCUGUUCUUUGUUGAGUUGUUAGGCUUCUUGAUGUUGGUUUUGAUGUAUACGUCAUCUGGGCAUCUUUUUAAUGUUUACCUGCUGCAGUUAACUACUAAUAAUGUCUCAUUAUGUAGCCUACAUGAUUUUGAAAUUCUGUUAUUUUUGCUGAUUUCAUGUUAUGCUUUCAUUCACAUCUAAUUUAUUCAGGGCAUGGGUGAACCAUUUCACAAUAUUGACAAUGUAAUGAAAGCCUCAGCAAUAAUGGUUGAUGAUCAAGGUCUUCAUUUUAGUCCUCGCAAGGUUACUGUCUCCACAAGUGGUCUUGUCCCUCAGUUAAAACGCUUCCUCUGUGAAUCCAAUUGCUCGCUGGCCGUCAGUCUUAAUGCAACAACAGAUGAGGUAGUGGUUAUUCUGUUUGGCUGAAAUGCUUUUUUCUUUCUUUCUUAUUUUGCCGAUUUGUAAAGAUACUUGUUUUGCAGGUUAGAAACUGGAUAAUGCCUAUAAACAGAAAGUACAAUCUUAACUUGCUUCUUGGCACCUUAAGGGAGGAACUUUGCCACAGAAAGAAUUACAGAGUUCUAUUUGAAUAUGUCAUGCUUUCUGGGGUGAAUGAUAGGUGAGAAAUAUGCUUAAGUGCCUUUUCCUGCUGUAUCUGUCUAGUCGUAUAUUAUGAAUCUAUUAGCAGAGGUUGCGCGUAAAUCCCCUUUCUGUUAAGGUCUGCAUGCAUCUUUCUUUAAACACUUGCAAAAGGCAAACUUUCUUCCUUCUAAUCAGAAGGCUUUUCGUUUCCUAUUUGGUCAAAGCAUACAUUUAGGCCUACCUGCCACAGUGUGCAGUUGAUGAUGUUGUUAGUGUAAUCAUUAGCUCGAGGUAGAUAAAUUGAAGCUAGACCUUCUUUUCCUUUUUGUAUUAACCUAGUGUUACCAUUAAUCCAUAUGCAAACAGAAUCCUUUUCAGUAUGAACCUUUUUAAGGCUAUCAGAGUUAACUAAGUUUCUGCUUGCACCCUAAAUUGUUAAUUUUUUGGGGGUCAACUAUACUUGCAGUAUGGAUGAUGCGAAGAGGCUUAUAGAGCUCGUCCAAGGGAUCCCUUGCAAGAUCAACCUCAUCUCUUUCAAUCCCUACAGCGGUUCCCAAUUCAAGCCCACACCCGAUGAGAAGAUAAUCGAGUUCCGGAACAUUUUAAUUCAAGGUGGCCUUAUAGUUUUUGUUCGGCUCAGCAGAGGGGAUGAUCAGAUGGCUGCCUGCGGGCAGCUAGGAGAGCCUGGAGACUACCAGCUGCCUCUGCUCCGUGUACCCGAGAAGUUCCAGGUCGCCUUGUGAAUUGUGAUGCUAGACGGUACAGUCAUUAGUAAGCUUGGCCCCGUGAGCAACUUGAUGAACACGUGAAGUAAUUGGCUCGGGAUGGAGAUUCGAUCAUGCACUCGGUGGAAGUUAUGCCAUCUCCGAAGACUGCCCUGGAGUUUUGCGAUAUGGUAUCCACGCGGUGGGUCCUUCAUCUGAGCCUGGAUAUGUAAGAACACAUUUUGGCACGGACACAUAAUGCUUCUGCUGAGGUUGUAGCAAGUUGUGUUGCGUUUCGCACUCUGAUACCGUACCAACGCCGUCCGACUCGGGAAAGCUAAAGCAUUGCGUCGUGCAACUUUGGUCUUUGGGUGCGUGACACUUGGCGUUUCCGCGUAGCCCAUGCUGCGGUCCGAGUCGGAGUCGCCAAAGCUAAAUUCUGCUGCUACCGGUGAUUCGAAAAGCUUGGCUUGGAUUUUGGAAUGAACCUAUCCUACCGGCGAUCAGGAAUGGCAGAAAAGAAUCUCGGAAGGCCUGCAAGGUUUGGCUUGACUGAGCGAGAUACCUUAACCGCUAAGGUGCGCAUGGCAUCACCAACUCACCUGGCCACCCUAGAAGGUAAGGUAAGGGAAAAGGGAAAGCGAGAAAUCUAGCACGAGCCCCCACCCGGAUCAAAGCGCCUCCUUUUCCCAAAAGCAACUCCAUCACACUGCGCAUCAUGGGGCGUCUUUAGCACUAAGCUGCUGCCGAACUGGUAGACACGCUACACGAUCAUCGCGCCUUGCCUUUAGCGGGAGCCCGAUAUUCCACGCUCCACGGCACUGCUGUGUGAUUGCAUGAUGCUUUUGUUUGUGUGGGAGACCUUUGUCAAGUUGGAUGCAUAUAUGCACACGACGAGUUCACGUGUAAAAUGAACUCUUGUUGUGCAAAGUUCAUGUGAAUUUUUCGUGCUCGUUCGAAACCGAUUAACCGACAUUAGAGCAGGGCUAAUAAUUUAGCGCGGUUGACUGUAUACUAGUGCUAUGUCAUAUAUACAUCAUCUAACAGCCCGAUCAUAUAGUAGCUUAAUAUUGAUGUAUAUACUACAUCAUUAUUGAUGUAUGGCUAUAAACUUGCAGCCCGUUUCUCAUCGAUGUCGCAAUCAAAACUUAGACCACCUUAUCAUACUUGCUCUUUAAUAGCAAGAAUGUUUUGCUGCCUCGGCACGGCAAUAAUACACUGCGACGUUUUACCUUCACGCCCCACUUUGGACUAAAUUCUUUUCUUAUCCCUAAUUAGUGCAGGCCAUCCUUUUCAUGGCCCAGCAUCCUCCACAAGAUCUUCUGAUUCAAGGCACCUACGCAUACUUCCUGCAUACGUGCUGUUCCUGUAGAUAUAUUCUUAGGGGAAGAAUAUAUCUACAGGAACAGCAUAUAUGCAGCAAGCAUGCAUGAAGUAUGAAGAAGCUAAUGGUGUUCGGGUGUUAGAAACUAAGCACCAGCGGAUUCUGCGACGGAGAUGUGGUUUUCGAGCUCCGUGGCGUACAUGUCAGGCCAGCCAAGGAAAUCGACAGCUACUCGUUGUUGUUGAUCACACGCGGUCCGACUGAGCUGGGUGAUCAUGCGUGCAUUUCUAGACAGGUCCUUGGGUCCGCCAUCCCACCCUACUCAUCUCUCCAAGUUGUGCAAGCAAAACAAGAGCCGCUACUUAUCAAAAGAAAAAAAAAAAGAGCCGCCAAGAAUAUGAAAUGUUGACUGCCCGCUUGUGCCCGGCAGGCGAAGACACGGUUCCCAGCCGCCUACCGGCGACGUGGACGCCGCAAUUACUUGAUGAAUUCCAUCGCGCGAUGAUUCGCGGUGCCAGCCCGGCUAGAGCAUUAUCACGCAGUGGUGUGUCGCGACGACCAACACGUCUCUAAAUGACUUGCGUCGCACGCGUGUCUCCCCUCUGUCCGUGUCGCCUUGCAAGAGCCCGAGAUCGGGGGAAGGGAAGGGCCAUGAUUCGUGACGCGAUCGACCAUCGUGUUUGGUUUUAUUGGCGUGGCGCUGGACCUGUAACUGCUGCUGCUGUGUGUGCUUGGGAGUGGGUUGCCAGUUGCCGCUGGGCUCUGCGCGGAGGCAGCCAACAGGCGGGGGGGCGGAUCCAUGGAUCGGCGGCGAAAAAGUUGCAGAGCAAAGCGCGAGGACGAGGCAGGCAGGAAGGAACGAAGCGCAUAGGCAUGGCAUCAACCAGGGAAAGCUACACGUAACCUCCCAUACAUAACACGGCAACUCCCCCGGCUCCUCCCUUGAUCGAUCCCUUCCUUCCGUCCACCCGCCACGGCAUCGGCGUGUCGCACCAUGGCAGCGUCGACGCCACGGACGCCGGCGCCGGAAAGGCCGCCGCCGCCCGUGCCCGUGCUCGCUUCCGCGCCCGCUCCUCCGCCGCCUCUGGAGACGCCCCCGCCGCCGUCGCCCUCGUCGCAGGCGGGGGACGAGUACCACACGCCGCCGCCGUCGCUCGACGCGUCGCCGCGGGAGGAGCCCGGCUUCCCCCGCGACGGGAGGGGAGGGGUGCCGCCCCCGCCUCCGAGGAGCCCGCCGCUCGACGCGACGUCGCCGCGGGAGGAGGCCGGUUUGCCCAGCGGCGGGAGGGGGGAAGCGGGAGCGCCCGCCAAGAGCCCGCAUCUCUCGCCCGUGCGCCUCCCCACGCCGCACCUCCUGCCGCCGCCCGCCUCCCCUUCCGGCCAGAAAGGGCAAGAAGGCGGCGCUGCUGCGGCCGCGGCGAGGGCGCGCCCGCAGCUCCGGCUGGCGACGGGGCUCGUCCGGACGCCGUCGCAGGGGUCGGUCGCGACCAAGUCCCCGUCCCCGUCGCCCUCGCCCACGCCGCCGUCGCCGCUGACCCCCGCGCCCACGGGCAACAACGGCAACAAGAGCGGCCAGAGCACGCCCAAGCAGCGCGCGGAGGCCUUGAAGCCGCCGCCGCCGCCCGCGGCCGAGCCGGCGAUCGCGGUGCCGCACUUCGACCGCGUCGAGGAGGCCGCCACGUCGCCGCUGCGCCUCGGCAAGGCGCAGCUCGAUCACCUCCACCACCACCAGCAGCAGCAGCAGCAGCACGCGGCGUCGGCGGCGGCGGAGAACGGGGGCGCUGUGCCUCCCGACGUGGCGGCCGUGGCCGCGGUCGGGGAGCGGAGGGCGCUGUCCGUGACGCUGCGGCUGGCCACGGCGGUGCUCAGCCUCGCGGCCUUCUCGGUCAUCGCCAGCGCCCGGACGUCCGGCUGGGCCGGCGACUCCUACGCCCGCCACCAGCAGUACAGGUCAGUGAUCGCCACUUGCUCACACGUUUCGUCUCGUCCCGGUUUCUUUUUGCCGGUUUCGUCGGACGUGUCCGGUUCCCGACGGUUACGGGAGUUGUUGCUCGCACAAGAACAUUUUCUUCUUCUUCUUCUUCUUCUUCUUCUUUUUAAAAGAAAAGACUCUUGAUCUUGAAUGCAAUGCACCGAUACCAAAUCAAGCAAUUGGGUAAUGAUUUUGAAUAUUUAAAAAACUAUCUACCUAACAUACCACUAGGUAGAGUUCAGGUUCGUAGCCUGUCCAUUCAGAUGUUUCCCUGCUUCCAUUUUCUUAAGCUAACUAAAAUUACAUUCCCGUGCUUGGCAAACGCAUGGCAGGUACGCCGUCGCGGUGAACGUGAUCGUCUGCGCCUACUCGAUCGCGCAAUCGUUUGGCGAAAUCCGCCGCCUGAUCUCGCCCAGGUUCAUAUUCCGGAGCAUGUCGAGCUACUACUGCAGCCUGCUCCUGGACCAGGCAAGUACACUGUACCGAGCAUUUCCUGAACUGAAACUGCUCGUGCGCAAGAAACUGAACCGUUGGUGCUCCGAUCCACGACGGUGCUGCCUGCUGCAGGUUCUGGCGUACCUCCUGAUGUCGGCGUCGUCGGCGGCCGCGUCGCACAACGACCUGUGGGUGUCGAGGUUCGGCACGGACGCCUUCAACAGGAAGAUCAGCAGCGCCCUGUGGCUGUCGUUCAUCGGGUUCCUGACGCUCGCUCUCAACGCGCUCAUCUCCACGGCCAAUCUCUUCAGCAUGGCCUGAAUUCUGAUCGAGGCGUUCACGGAAUCCAGCCAGUACCGGUUGUAAAUUUUGGAGUAAAUAUUGCUGCGGAUUAGCCGGAGGUAUACAUCAUACACGCUGUUGGUGGUACUGGGCCGUCAGAAUACACGCUUGAUCAAGGGCUAAUAGAAUGUUGAAGCCCUUUUUAUGCGCAAAAAUUGACAUUAUAUUGGAGGUAUCUGCUAUGUAGAAUACUCUAAUUGUGACCGAGCUACGCAUGUCAGACGAUACGUACGUCCAUGCGUACUGUUACAGCUCUGCGGCAUGUGACAGAGUGACACUCCUUGAUGCAGCGAAGUAGCGAUGAAAUGGUAGUCUGCCUCUGUUACAGAGGCCUGUACUGAACGUCUGAACCAAGAACAGAGAUCCCUAUAACUAAAAGUAUCUCGAUCUCAAACAUCUGAAGAACCUAAAUCAUCUUCUAGUAGCAUUACAGCAUAGUAUUUGGCAAUUCAGGCCUCGAUCUCCACCUGGCUCACUCUGCUCAACCAGAUGGAGUGCAGGAUCAUGUGGAAGAGGUCGUACUUGAUGGGCCUGGCGUGCCACAGGAAGUGCCGCUGCAGCCGCUUCACGCAGUCGUGCAUCUUCACGUACCUCCGGAGCGGGAUCCCCUGCAGGAUCCGCUUCAGGUCCGGUACGUCCUUCUCGGCGACCACCACCGAGAAGGCGCUCCAGUCCAGCACGUCGCUCAACGGCAGCACGAAGUUGUCGGCGAUGAUCACCGGCACGCACUCGUAGUACAAGGCCUCCACGAUCCGGGGGCUGUUCACCUCGUACCCCAUGGGGCACAGGCAGAAGCGGCUGUUCUUCAUGUGCUGGAUGUAGCUCAUCCGCCGGGACACCCGGCUCGGCAGCAGGCUGUACACCCGCAUCUCGUCGUCCUGCCCGCCGCCCCAGUGCCUGAGGAGCUCCGGCCGGACCCUGCCGUGCACGUUCCCGGCGAAGAAAGCCAGGAUUCCCCGCCGGGAGACCGGCAGCCCGCCGACGUACCGGAGGGGCCGCCGCGGCGUCCGGAUGGUCGUCUCCGGCAGGGAGACGUCCUUCCCGGGGGUGAAGAUCCCCUCCGAGCUAUCGGCGUUGCACAGCGCCUUGAUGGUGUUCUUGCGGAGGUCGCGGUGCGCUGUCGUCGUGUAAGGUCCCUGCAAGAACAAUCACGUUCAGCGGGUGUCCGUUCUUGAGCUUGAUCGAAUUCUAGUAUUGAUCAAGGGAGCUUAAGUUUAGCUUACCCAGUCGUGGCAGGCGACGAGGAAAUGGUCGGCUCCUCUGGUGCGAUUCCAGAACGGGUACUUGAUGGCCAGGCCCCUGACGAAAUUCCUCAGGUACACGGACAGCGGCCUGAGGUCGUGGGAGUCGGGGACGUAGCGCGUGAGCCUCAGCUGCUGGGAGCUGUAGGGCAGGUAGAAGAGGUGCGCCUUGGUGGCAUCGUCGACGACAUGCCGGCGGCUCUCCUUGAGGAGCUUCAUGAACCAGCCCUCGGAGGCGUAGAUGCCGCUGAGCGGAGGCGUGUGGAAGAUGGGCCUCCGGCCGUCCUGGUAAAUGUAAACUUUGAGUAUCCUUUCCAUCAGUUCAUAGCUCCUGGAUGAUGAUCACAUUGGCUACGAUUAUGAUGCGUGUAGUCGAUGCACGGGAUACAUACAAAUGCAUAGAAAUUUAAAGUUCCAGAUGUGUGUGUGUGUGUUUUUUGCAAAAACGGCAACAUAACAGGAUCAAAAGCAGGCGUAUCACGGCGACAUCAUGUUUCUCACUCUGAGCCUAUUGUGCAGGGAAACAUGCCAAAACGCACGCGAAAAAGUUGGAACUCCUCCAUUCUUGGAGGAAGGAAAGACGCAACGCGGGUGCACUAACAAUUUGCUUGGAUUCCAUGAGAACCGGUGGUUACCUCUUGAACUGGGAGACGUUCUUGAACAGAGGCGCGUACAGGUCAGGGUCGUCGAGCACCGGCUCGGCGUCGCGUAUCUCCUUCUUGGCGUAGCGCAGCGCCUCCUCCGGCGCCAUCCUCCAGUACGACGGCUGAUCAGUACACGGGCGAACGGGUUCAGACCACACACACUAUGAGCGAGGAAACCGACGCUUGGAGCACACUAGCUCCGUCUCACCUCUCGCCUUCGACGCCUCACGGCGGGCGGGGACGGCGGAGGAGGGGGCGGUGUGGCGGGUGCACGAGGCGCUGACAAGUGCGGCGGCGGCUGGUUCCCCACCAACAGUUGUCCGGUGAAGUCGGUCCUUGUGGUGGCGGACGCGCUGGGCGAGGAGGGCAAGGAGAAGGUGAGCAGCGCCGUGGCCGCGCCCGCGGCGAGGAGGAACGCGAGCGCCGCGGCGCGGCAGCAGCAGGCGGAGGGCAUCGUCGUCGUCGCGCCGCGGUGGCGGGGCCGGCGGCGGGGCGGCCCGGCGUGGGAAGCGGCCGGGGGCGCGGCGGCGGAGGGGGCCGGGGCCGUGAGGUGCGGAGGUGGCCGCAUCGCAUCGGUGGGAAGCGGAGGAGGAGGAGCAGACAGACAGACGGGCGGCGAGGAGGGAAGCGCGCGCGGGCGCACGCGUGGUGGGGGUGCUUAUUAGACGCCGUGGAGCAGAGCAAUGAGGUAUUAGCUCCUAUGCACGCUUCUUCGGGGCAGCAUUUUUACCUUGCUCCAGAUGUGGAGAACUGGGAUUCACGCGCCUGUAAAAGCCGUAAAAGUGCACCCGUAAUAUGAGUGCCGAGCAUGAACACAGUUUUUUUUUCUACAGCUGCUAAAAUAAUUCGCAUGGCAUGUCUCAGCAUAAUUAGUGCACCCGUAAUAUGAGUGCCGAGUGCAAACGGCACAGUAGAAACGCACCCUUUGCACUUCUUGUUCAACUUAAAACAAAGCACACCAGCGCAUGCACACUGAGCGAUGCCACAUCGAUACCUAUUGUAUAUACAUCACACAUCGUCGCCAUUUUCAGAACUUCAGCUGUCACGCAUGCCACGUCUGGAAGCUGCCAUGGAUAAAGUCAUAGCGAGCACCAAUCAACUUGAGCGAUCCCUUGGCCAAUUUAUCCUUGACAAAUGGGUAGGUCUUCAGGUUUCUAAGAGACAAAUUGACAGCCUCCUGCACAGCAUUCAGAAAUGCAAAAAGGCAACAUCAGUAUCUAAUAUUCUAAUCCGAUUGGGUUAGAAGUUUCAGUAACUGUGGUUAAAGUGAAAUGAAUCGGCAAAGCGAAGAACUGAAAAUCAUUUUUUUUAAUAGACUCACAAUUUCCAACAUGGUGCAUUUGUCAUCAAAAGACAAAAAGGCAUGUUCUCGCUCCACCUUCUUCUUGAUAGCCAGACCGAUCUUAACCCAAUCGUCAAUGAAGCGGCUAAGAGAUCAAAUGAACAGAGGAAAACUUAUUAGAACAAAAGACACGAUAUUAGUACGGUACCAACUGCUUGAGUCAAGUUUUAAUUAACUCAUUUACUUGGACCCUUUUGUCAUAUACAGCUACACAUGUUUUAUUUGUACCACUAAUGUUGAGGUAGAUCAAUUAGGAGCAAGAUUAAGAUGAUUUCAUACUAGGUGUGAGGUCUAUCUUCCUGCAGAGAGAGGAGUUCCCUGAUUCCACCGCAGCAGCUGUGACCGAUAACCACAAUGCACUUAACCUGCAAAAAGCGUGCAUGUAGUGCUUUUCGUGGUCAAAAGAAAAUCACGCCUCUGUUGUUUCUAGAAGGCAAGGUUUUGCCAGCAAAUAGUAUAGCUGACAAUAUUGUUGAAUUCUUAAAUUAUUCUGUUCCUCUGGACAGAUUACAGUGAGUUAAGAAAACACAUAGAGGUAUACUCAGUGGCGGAACGUGGAGCCAAACCCGGGGGGGGGGGGGGGGCGGGGGGGUGCGGAACUAGUCGUGCACACUGCGCACCUCAUUGUUGGUUGCAGCAGCACAGGGCAGACAAUAGCUGACAAGCAUAUAUGCAUGCAGCAACGCUUGGAGCAAGGAGGGGCCGGAGCCCAGCUUCGCCGCCACUGGGUAUACUAAACAUAGCGGUUCUAAAUAAAAAAACUAUGAACCUAGAACCACCAACACAUGAUAAACAAUAUUUACUUUAUUAAAACAUGCUAACAAUUGGAGAGGACUGCAACAGCUUCCUGAUGUGCAAAUAGUUAUUUUGACUCUCCAUAUGUGCCAUUUGUUUUGUUGUCUCUCACAAUUCAAUGACCAAGUUAACCGCAAACUUAAAAUGGAUGUUCGGAAAGAAACAUGCUAUAAGUCAAAUGGGGGAAGUUCACCUUGAGAAUGGUUACAGCAAACUCAAUGGCUGACGCAACGCUAGAGUGCAUAUUCUGUGGUCAGACAUGAAUGUGCAGGUCAGUUGAUUAUAUAUACCUUCAAAUGUGCAGGCCAAAAUUAUUAGUUCACGAUUAAAAUGUGGAAAAUAUUCUCCACAAGCAUGAACCUGAUGGUAGGCCGGAACCAGGCUGGCAAUGUUACGGACAGUAAAGGCCUCUCCUGGUUUCAGGUCGAGGGUCACUGAUGGGCAUACACGAGAAUCAGAGCACGCAAACACCAUGUACUGCAAGCAAGAACAGAUUAACUGUUAAGCCAGAGAAAAAAAAAACACCCUUGGUAUUAUAGAAGUGCAGUUUUUGCUGAAUAGAGCACAGCACAAUAUCAAAGAGAACAAAGUGGAAUUAUUCAUGUCUACUCCUGCCUAUCAUAUUCGGAAAAUCAAUCAAAGUUGUGCAUGGUGUCCUCCAUACAAUACCAAAAGAACUAAUAAUCUUUUAGUCCCCUCCAGAUAAUAAGCUAGUGCAGCCCUCCUAAGUUGACAACAAUAAAAUCAUAUGAGCUGUGGACUAACCUAAGACCACACAGCCAGGUGUACUGUAAAGAUAUGCGUGAUAGGAGCUCGAAGAGAAAGACCCGUUUGCCUCAUCUAACAGACAUACCACACACGUAUUUGUGUUGUAUACUUGUAACUUUUGGAGACCCACCACAAACUGCCCCAAAACCGAAGCAAUCUAUAUUGCUUUCUUUAAAUACCAGUUUCUUCUUAACUGAAGAAUUGCAGAUUGAUUGUUGUUUUUGAGUUUUCAUGCAGCGUCGAACGAUGAGAUUUCCUAAAUGGUCAUCGCUGUACAAUCUUUGUGUUCAAACAGUGAUAGAGGAAUGAGACCAUAAGUUUAGUUUCUAGAACAUAAUUAAUUCAACACCUAGAGGUAAUUUUACAAAUAAUUAGACUCUUCAAGAGAUUUUUAUAGGACGACGAGCAGUGUAGGUCGAACAACCAACAUGUCGAAGUAGUAGCAGACUAUUGACAUCCACCAAACAGGCUGUUCCAUUCUUUUUUUUUUAGUAGAAGUCCUAUUUGCAAAACUACUAGUGAGCUUAACAUAACAGAUACACACUUUUGCAUUAGCACAUCGACCGGAUGGGGUUUUCGCAGGUAUCAAUCUGAUGGCACAUACCUUUGGGGACUGGGAAGACUUGAGUGGCCCGAACAGCAUGGGGUUUUUACUGCCAACAGCCACCAAAUCAGAAGAACGAACUGAAUCAGGAAUAAACUCAAUCGAAACGCAGAUUCCUCGAGCAUCAGAGCAUACUCACUCAUAGAUGGUCUUCUUAAACGUCCUGAACCCAGCCCUCAACCUCUCCGCGGAGCCCAACCCCUGCAGAGCACGCAGCAGCAGCCGUCAGCCGUCGCGCCACAAGGGGAAAGGGAAACAGCACAAUGCCGGCGCGCGACAAGAGAAUCGCAUCGCUCGGGGACUGGCCUCGCUGUAGGUGACCAUCUGGGCCGGGUGGUGGUGGCCGGCAGCGCUCGAUCCGCCCCCGAUGAGCGGCUCGCGGGCCGGGCUCAACGGGUUCUCCCGAGGCGGCUUGUGGGCGAGGAAGCAGCAGCAGCAUCCCCCCAUCGCCGAUCGCCCCCGCGAGCCGCUCGAGGAGGGAGAGAUCGGUGGAGAGGUGGGCGCCCGUAGCUCGUUGCCUCGGUCCUGACUCCUGAUUUUGCCCGCGGGCCGCAGGGGAAGGGGAAGAGGGUUUUGCAGUUUCGCUCGGGAUGAAACCGAACUUCGGCAGGCUUGGACUCUCGGGUGUUAUCCUGCUCGCCUCAAUUUGGAAAUCAUUAGCCCGAGAGGAUUGAUUUAGGUUCCGUUGGAUUUGAACUGCGAAAGCACAGAAUGGUGAAAGAGAUUCAGAGUUCAGCUCAGGAUCAUCGCGUGGGCCCCGCCGCUGCUUUAAAUCGGGGCAACGAGACGGCCAGAUUUUAGGUUGGCCGUUGUCUCGUGGCUCGUGGUUGGCUCGGGUUCACCGGUUCACCACCAUGUGAGGAGCUAAUGACAGUUGAGAAGGAUUUCCUUUAAAGUUCAAAACCGAUAAAGUAAAAAAAUUAAAUUCAUCCUAUUUCUAGUUUAUUUUAAUCUAACUUUACAAAACGAUUUCACACUUAGUAUCUCGAUUUGCGCAAAACAGAUGAAGUCGAAACUAAAAUAAACCUCCAAAAGAUAUCUUCCCUUUUCCAUUAUUAUUUCUCAGGUUUGGAUAGACCCUGUAAACUAUAAUCAAUACUCUUUCCGCUUCAAAUUAUAGAUCGUUUUGGUUUUUCUAGAUAUAUAAUUUUCCUUAUGUAUCUGAACAUAGCAUAUAUCUAGAUGCACAUAAAUAUCAAAUAUCAUAUAUCUAGAAAAGUCAAAACAAUCUAUCACUUUUUAGAGUUGCUCUAAGUCAAACUAUUUUAAAUUUAAUCAAUUUUAUAUAGAAAACAACUUGAUGAUAAUCUAUGAACCAAAUAAUACACUACGAAAUAUAUAUUUAAGGGGCAUUUUGUAAUAGACUAAUAAUACUAAUUUGGUGUUAUAAAUAGUAGUGCUCUUUUGCGUAAGUUUGAUCAGGCUUGAAAUAGUUUGACUUAAGAGAACUCUAUAAAUUGAUUUAUUCUUUAUGGAGGGAGUACUUCUUUUCAACUAUAAAUAAGAGGAGAAAACCAGGCAAUGCUGCAGCUCAUCACUGGCCAAGCCAACAAGUGCAGAGUGUGCCCUAACCUGCGUGUUGACUUUCUAGCGGGACUUAAAACCAUCUUCUUCGUUGGCAGAAAGCCUUUCAUUCAGCAACACACAUUUACACAGUCACAGGUUUGCAGGGAUAAUAUACACAAGAAUGCUAGGUAGUUGGCCUUAAUCAAUUUUUUUUCAUAAUAAUAACUUGUAGGAAUAGUUGACAACUCAGGGGGCAAACAGGCUUUGCCUUUCACUUUCGUUUUUAACUUUUUUCCAGAUUUUCUAUAUAUGUUUGAUGUUGUUUAAUUUUCAGUGUUCUUCAAACGAAUAAACCAACAGUAAGAUACUUCUAUAGGGCAAAUGACAUUCAAUACAGCAGGAUUGCAAUGUGGGCAGCUAGCACAUCCAGAGGAAACAGGCGACAUAACUACUACUAAGCCCAAGAACACGUCAUGACAGAAAAAAAACCCAAUUAUGCUCUUAACUUCAUGCGGCCCACUUUCAAUGUUUUGUCUUAAUUAUGAAAAAAUAACACGCCAUGACACGUCUUUUCCUUCAGAGGACGAGUUAUAUACGCCAUGACACAUCAUGGAGAGCAGCAAAAGGUAGCAUAAGAAGGUAAACUCUUUCUCUCUUCAUGAUAAUAUGAAUGAAAAGAUCAUUACAGCUGAUGUGUUUUGACCACACGUCGAUCAAACUAUGCAUCAUACAUACAUUAAAAAAGAAGAAGAAAGAACUCCGCGACAGAAAAUUGUAUUGCUUAUUACAGUUCACAAAGAGCAAUCCGGUAUGUGUGUAUAGGGGCAAAUUAGUAGUACUGCUCCACGCAGUCAGAUGUAUCGAUCGGGAGCAUAUAUGUUGUAGCCGUACAUGAUUAACAGCUAGCCUGGUUGGCCGCUCAUGGAUCCCAUGUCUCGAACUUGCCGGAGACGAAGUCGUAGUGGCCGCCGACCAGCUUGAGUGUCCCCUUCUCCAGCCCUUCCUUGACGAACGGGUAGGUCUUGAGGUUCUCGAGGGACACGUUCACGGCCUCCUGCAAGGUAAAGUGUUCAGAGGUCCAACAACAGCCACGCACUCCAUGAGCAAAUCGUUUUCCCGUUGGAGCUCGUCUCCAAGAUGAUGAUCCAGACAGAGGUCUUUUAAUUUCAGAGCAUACCUUUUCCAAGGCGGAGCAUUGGUCUUCGAAGGGGGCCGAGGCGUGGUCGGCCUGCACCUUCGUCUUCGCGGGGCCGCCGAUCCUGACCCAUUCCUCGACGAAGUGGCUGGACAGGGGAUCAAACAGUAAGUAGUGAUGCAAGAUACAGCAAACCAGUUUCAAGUUCUCAACACCGUCGUCAGUUGUCUGAGUCUUCCACACGGAUGCUUACAACUUGUCGGGCUCGCCGUCCUUGAGCGAGAGGAGCGCCUUGAUCCCGCCGCAGCGGCUGUGGCCGAUGACCACGAUGACCUCCACCUUGAGGGCGCAGACGGCGUACUCGAUAGCGGACCCGACGCCGGCGUACCGGGUCUGCAAGCAGAACGUGCGUGAGCGGUCGAGCCGACGACGAUGCCUGCCAGCGGCGGCGACAUGCUGCGAGAACUACCAGGCGCGCGUACCUUGUCGUAGGGUGGGACCAUGCUGGCGAUGUUGCGGACGGAGAAGGCCUCGCCGGGCUGCAGGCCCAGGGUCACCGACGGGCACACGCGGGAGUCGGAGCAGGCGAACACCAGGUACUGCACACAACCAUGAAUGGCAGCGAACAGUCAGCAGCCGGGUUACCGAUCCUCUGACCCUGACGGCCAUUGCUCUCCCUAGCUGGCUAGUAGCUCCUACUUCCUAUCAAGGGUUAAGCCCAAGACGGGGGAUAGGAACAGUAACAUGAGGCUCCUUUCAGAAAUAAAAAGUAACAUGAGGCCGGCCUACUUUAUUUGCGAGUGACGACAAGGUGGACCGUGGCUAGAAAAAUGUAUGGAAUCUUUAGUUCGAGGCUUCGGGCAACUAGCAGGAUUCGACAUUUCCGACUACAUAUACUUUAGAGUCCCCAUCAAACUCUGUUUUUUGAAGAGUCCCAUCGAACUCUGUUUCUUUGAAGAGUCCCAUCAAACUAUGUUGUUAUUUUACAUAAAGAUUGGGAUUAGUUUAGGCCAAAAUUUUCAUACUUUGACCCUUAAUCUUCCUUAAAAAAACUAUAUAAAUCAACUAUGUAAAACUGAUGUUACUAAGUCCACCAUGAAAAAUAUUUCAAUAAAUGUAACUCUUCAAAUAAUAUAUCUCCAUGGAUAUAGCUUGCCAAAGUAAGGUAAUGAAAGAUCGUGUGUCAAAACCAGGCGAGCCACAGAUAUGCAGAUUUCUAAUAAAGAGUUACGUGUGGACCAUAUCAUAUUUAAUUUCUUUCUAAUAUCUUUUUUUUCUGGAUGAUGGUCUAUCUUCUAAUAUCUAUAGAUGAUGUAUAUCUGCCGUUCUUAGCUUCUUGUAGCUGCUGAUAGCCAUUUCUGAACAUCUUUUUUAUUCUGGCGCACGUAUUACUCAUUUGGUCAACUUCUACCGCUUCUUUUUUUUCCCUCAUUUGGUCAACUUUGACCUCGAUCAAAUGCUGCGUGCACACAUUCGCAGGCGGCGUUGGACGCGGAUAGGGGGGGCCGCUAGAUCAACGGCAGGGUUGGUGGCAAAUGGGGACCCGUGAUUCCCGAUGUGCUAUCUAGUACGGGAAAACGGUUGUGUUGCCGGCCGGAUCCCCUCAGGAUAUUCCGAAUUUACUAUGAACGCAGAAACUGGCCGCUACGAGCUUCGAAAAUUUUGGUGGUGAACAAGAAUGCAAGAUAUAUUUCUUUACUCCAUUCUACAGUGCAUACCUUGGGGGACUGGUGGGCCUUGAGCGGCUCGAACGUCUCCGGCUUCUUGCUGCCGAUCGACAGGGAGACGGGUCGUCAAAGAGUCAAUUCACUUCACAUCGAGCAGGAGGCUUGGGAGAAUAGAGAGUAGCUUGGAUCACUUACUCGUAGACAUCGGCCUUGAACUGCUCGAACCCGGUCUUCAAGCGCUCGACGGCGUCCGCCAUGGCCUCCUGCAAGAGCCACAGAUCAUGUCGUCAACACAGCUGUGCCGUCCGUCCACAACAAGAUCACCAGAUGCGUCAUGCAGAUUUCUCGGGGUGGGGGGGGGGGGGGGAGUCAUGCGAAUUGCGAGCGACGAGUCUAGAAAGGGAAAGAAGAUGGGUUGAAGCAUGGAGGAUGGAGGAGGAGGGGGCUGACCUUUGGGCUGCAGAGGAGAGCAGGUGGUGAACUGUGGAAGGAUUGACGAAGACUGUGGAAGGCUUUGCUUCGCUGUAGAGCUGCCCCGUCCAUGCCUCCCCGGGGGACCUUUUUUAUAGGAGGGGGGAGGCACGGGAAGCAGCGGCUCGCCUUCUUUUCCUGCCCCCCCGGUCGUGCAGCUGGACGGAUGGACGCGGGGAACGGCGAACCGGUCCAGCACGAGACGUGUCAUCGUGCGGGACGGGGUACACCACUAACCCACCGAGCUUCCAAAGGUCCAUCCUGCAGGCCGCCUUCGCCUUGACCUCCGGCUGGCCGCGGCCGGGCAGGCGUGGCGCCGGGCUUGGGGUGCCGUCCUUCCCCGGGGAAACGAGGAGGACGAUGGAGAGGCUGGAGCCGGAUGGGCUGAACGCCGCGGUGGACACGGCUCACGACGCGUGGCGCCCUGCCGGUUUAGCGGAGCCGGAGAAAACGAGGGGGCGCGGUGUGAAGACCCAAGAGGUAAAUACUUAAUUUUAUUUAUUAACUAAUCCACUAAUUAGUAAUUUUGAAGAACAUAAGUAUUAAAAAUCCAUGAGAGAAAUUGGAUCUCGUAACUGAUCAUCAAAUUACCUCACCCCCUUCUCAUUUCUCAAAUAUUCUAGCACAUAUAUAUAGAUAUAUAUUUAUCUUUAUCCAUUAUAGAAUUUAGUUAGAAAUUAAUCUAUGCACUCUUCAUCGUCGUUGAUAGUUUUCUUUUUGCAUGGCAUCUGCAUCUGGGUUUGACAUUUUUCUAACUAAAUUCUUAGUUUGGGCUAUGUGUUUAACAUGGAAAUUGGUGCUAUCAUAGCUUCCUGCAUAUACAGGGGUGGAUCCGACCCACUUGGUGCUGUUACUUGAUAGCAAUGGAUUUUUAAAAUCCAAGGCUAAAGUUAUCUUGAUAUUAGAGAAAAUCAUAUCGUAAAUUUGACACUAGUGACAUCAAUGGUUCUCUAUUCUAGAUUACCGCCUAUGUAGAUAUGUAUACAUGGUCUAAACCGUAAGUUAGUAUCUUUAUAACAGAAAUAAAUAAUUUAGAAUUUUUUAUUGGUGUGCACUGGGAUACUUUUUUAUAAUGAUAGAUGCAGUUAAUCAAGAAGCCAAUUUAGGGAUUAUUUUCAAUUGUUUUUAGUAAUAGCACAUAUGGAUAAUUUAUAUAUAUAGAUUUAGGAUGUUACUUUAUUAGAUGAUUUUUAUACUAAAAUGGCAGCGACGGGCUACUUUUUAUGCAUGUCCAUGAAGCAUACAACCAAGAAAAUGUUGUAAUGAAACUGAGAUCUUAGUAAACCUUGUGCUUUUCACGAGCAUACAACCUUGCAAUUUCUCAUAUUAAUACUAAGGUACAUAUCUGUCUGGUGUAUACGAGAGGGGGGAAAAAAAGAAUGUGCAACCAAAGCAGAGACAAAAAGAACAUGAGCAACCAUUUAGAGAUCUACUGGAAGGAACAGAGAGCAAGCAACCAAACUUUACUUCUGGUUUAAAGCGUGUGAUCAAUGUGGAUUAUUACUGUUGAUUUUUCUAGCUUAUUAGCAUGCACUGUAGCACGCAAAAGCACAUAGGCAUAAAGACCCCCCCCCCCCUCUGUUGAGUGCAAGAUUUUCAGAAAGUUUAGGGGUCAACUUUCUUAAUCUUUUUUUGUGAAGACAGCUUUGUAGUACAAAAUCAUUCAUGUCUCACAUAAAAAUGGUAGCACCAGCAUUUCAGGGAGAGAGAGAGAGAGAGAAGGGGCAUCAAGAUGUAGUAGAAAGGUAAAGUAUGCAUGAUAGUAUUAUGAAAAAGGCUUAUACAGCUGAUGUCUCUUGACCACAAAAGCGGUCUAAUUACGCACCAUAUAUAUUACAUAUAAGCUCCACCUUAGAAAUUAAAGCAGUAGAAGCUGCUAUUGCUUAUUACAUUCACAGAUAGGACGAUCCGGUUUGUAGCUGUCGAAAUAGGAGGUAAGUCCUCCACGCGUUGACAUCGACCGGGUGCAUAUACGUCGGUAUGUAUGUAUCUGAUGUAGUAGGAGUUUGCGGCCUAUUUCUCCCAUGUGUCGAAGAUUCCGUUCACGAAGUCGUAGCGGGCACCGACCAGCUUGAGGGUCCCGUUGGCCACGCCUUCCUUGACCCAGGGGUAGGUCAAGAGGUUCAAAAGGGACACGUUCACGGCCUCCUGCAGAAACAUUCAGAAAUGCAGGAUCCUCUCAUGAGCAAACCAAUUCGAUCUUUAUGAAAUCACGCGCGUAUGGGCAGCGGGUAACCAAAGAUCGCCAUGGCAACCAGGUCGUAGCCC